Molecule: ribosomal RNA, 489 nt
Filed under: uncultured Pseudoalteromonas sp.
Lineage: Bacteria; Pseudomonadati; Pseudomonadota; Gammaproteobacteria; Alteromonadales; Pseudoalteromonadaceae
Description: bacterial SSU rRNA
Rfam family: Bacterial small subunit ribosomal RNA
Source: RNAcentral
AAACGACUGCUAAUACCGCAUAACGUCUACGGACCAAAGGGGGCUUCGGCUCUCGCCCUUAUAUUAGCCCAAGUGGGAUUAGCUAGUUGGUGAGGUAAUGGCUCACCAAGGCGACGAUCCCUAGCUGGUUUGAGAGGAUGAUCAGCCACACUGGAACUGAGACACGGUCCAGACUCCUACGGGAGGCAGCAGUGGGGAAUAUUGCACAAUGGGCGCAAGCCUGAUGCAGCCAUGCCGCGUGUGUGAAGAAGGCCUUAGGGUUGUAAAGCACUUUCAGUAAGGAGGAAAGGUUAUUAGUUAAUACCUGCUAGCUGUGACGUUACUUACAGAAGAAGCACCGGCUAACUCCGUGCCAGCAGCCGCGGUAAUACGGAGGGUGCGAGCGUUAAUCGGAAUUACUGGGCGUUAAGCGUACGCAGGCGGUUUGUUAAGCGAUAUGUGAAAACCCCGGGCUCAACCUGGGGAACCUGCUUUUUCGAAACUGGCAAA